RNAcentral lists this ribosomal RNA (792 nucleotides) under Nematoda environmental sample. RNAcentral's name for it is "SSU rRNA". It matches the Rfam family "Eukaryotic small subunit ribosomal RNA", at positions 119 to 917 of the family's 1831-position model. Lineage: Eukaryota; Metazoa; Nematoda. The record is from RNAcentral.
ACUUGAUCUUGACACAAUCCUACUUGGAUAACUGUGGUAAUUCUAGAGCUAAUACAUGCAUUAAAGCUCUGACCUCACGGGAAGAGUGCAUUUAUUAGAACAAAACCAAGCGGCUUCGGCUGUUUAUGGUUGACUCAUAGUAACUGAGCUGAUCGCAUGGUCUUGCACCGGCGACGUGUCUUUCAAGUAUCUGCCGUAUCAACUUUCGAUGGUAGUGUAUCUGACUACCAUGGUGAUCACGCGUAACGGAGAAUAAGGGUUCGGCUCCGGAGAGUUCGCCUGAGAAAUCGCGAACACAUCUAAGGAAGGCAGCAGGCGCGAAAAUUACCCACUCUCAGCACGAGGAGGUAGUGACGAAAAAUAACGAGACCGUUCUCUUUGAGGCCGGUCAUCGGAAUGGGUACAAUUUAAACCCUUUAACGAGUAUCUAUGAGAGGGCAAGUCUGGUGCCAGCAGCCGCGGUAAUUCCAGCUCUCAAAGUGCAUAGAAUUAUUGCUGCGGUUAAAAAGCUCGUAGUUGGAUCUGUGCCAUAGACCGGGGUCCACCUUCGGGUGCGUACUCCGUGCCUAGGCUUUUUGCUGGUUUUCCCGUCGUAGCCUUCACUGGUUGCGGCGGGUGGCUGGCGAGUUUACUUUGAGAAAAUCAGAGUGCUCAACACAGGCGUAUUGCUUGAAUGAUUGUGCAUGGAAUAAUAGAAAAGGAUUUCGGUCCUCUUUUAUUGGUUUUGUGGACUGAGAUAAUGGUUAACAGGGACAAACGGGGGCAUUCGUAUCGCUGCGUGAGAGGUGAAAU